GGCGGCAGCGGUGAUGACUCUUUCCCCGUCAGAUCGACCGUGGUGAUAACCUGACACAAACAAGCCAAACCCCGUCUGAGUGCUGCC
Molecule: small nucleolar RNA, 87 nt
Organism: Anser brachyrhynchus (Pink-footed goose)
Lineage: Eukaryota; Metazoa; Chordata; Aves; Anseriformes; Anatidae
Source: Ensembl